GACGAACGCUGGCGGCGUGCCUAACACAUGCAAGUCGAGCGGAGAUAUUAGCAAUAAUAUUUUAGCGGCGGACGGGUGAGUAACGCGUGGGCAACCUGCCUUUCACUGGGGGAUAACACAGAGGAAUUUGUGCUAAUACCGCAUAACAUCACGAGAUGACAUCAUCUUGUGAUCAAAGGAGUAAUCCGGUGAUUGAUGGGCCCGCGUCCGAUUAGCUAGUUGGUGGUGUAACGGACCACCAAGGCGACGAUCGGUAGCCGAACUGAGAGGUUGAGCGGCCACAGUGGGACUGCGACACGGCCCAGACUCCUACGGGAGGCAGCAGUGGGGAAUAUUGCGCAAUGGGGGAAACCCUGACGCAGCAACGCCGCGUGAAGGAUGAAGGUUUUCGGAUUGUAAGCUUCUUUGAUUGGGGACGAAAUAAAUGACGGUACCCAAAAAACAAGCCACGGCUAACUACGUGCCAGCCGCCGCCGUAA
This 479-nucleotide ribosomal RNA is filed under the name uncultured bacterium. Its description in RNAcentral is "partial 16S ribosomal RNA". It matches the Rfam family "Bacterial small subunit ribosomal RNA", at positions 28 to 523 of the family's 1533-position model. The record is from RNAcentral.